RNAcentral lists this ribosomal RNA (499 nucleotides) under uncultured bacterium. RNAcentral's name for it is "partial 16S ribosomal RNA". It matches the Rfam family "Bacterial small subunit ribosomal RNA", at positions 28 to 507 of the family's 1533-position model. The record is from RNAcentral.
GACGAACGCUGGCGGCGUGCUUAACACAUGCCAGUCGAACGGGCCCGCUCUCUUUUUUGGGGGUGGGUUGAGUGGCGAACGGGUGAGUAUCACGUGAGUAACCUGCCCCCUGCUCCUGGAUAACUGCUUGAAAGGGCGGCUAAUACGGGGUGUGCCGGCUGGUCCGCAUGGGCCUGGUCGGGAUAGUUUCAUCUUCGGGUGUUUCGGUGGGGGAUGGGCUCGCGGCCUAUCAGCUUGUUGGUGGGGUGAUGGCCCACCAAGGCGGUGACGGGUAGCCGGCCUGAGAGGGUGGGCGGCCACACUGGGACUGAGACACGGCCCAGACUCCGGCGGGAGGCAGCAGUGGGGGGUAUUGCACAAUGGGCGGAAGCCUGAUGCAGCGACGUCGCGUGAGGGAUGGAGGCCUUCGGGUUGUGAACCUCUUUCUCCGGUGGUGAAGGCCCUGUCCGGUGCGGCGGGGUUGACGGUAGCCGGGUAUGAAGCGCCGGCUAACUACGUG